AUUAGGAUCUCGUAGGUGACCUGCGGAGGGAUCAUUACACAAAUAUGAAGGCGGGCUGGAACCUCUCGGGGUUACAGCCUUGCUGAAUUAUUCACCCUUGUCUUUUGCGUACUUCUUGUUUCCUUGGUGGGUUCGCCCACCACUAGGACAAACAUAAACCUUUUGUAAUUGCAAUCAGCGUCAGUAACAAAUUAAUAAUUACAACUUUCAACAACGGAUCUCUUGGUUCUGGCAUCGAUGAAGAACGCAGCGAAAUGCGAUAAGUAGUGUGAAUUGCAGAAUUCAGUGAAUCAUCGAAUCUUUGAACGCACAUUGCGCCCUUUGGUAUUCCAAAGGGCAUGCCUGUUCGAGCGUCAUUUGUACCCUCAAGCUUUGCUUGGUGUUGGGCGUCUUGUCUCUAGCUUUGCUGGAGACUCGCCUUAAAGUAAUUGGCAGCCGGCCUACUGGUUUCGGAGCGCAGCACAAGUCGCACUCUCUAUCAGCAAAGGUCUAGCAUCCAUUAAGCCUUUUUUUCAACUUUUGACCUCGGAUCAGGUAGGGAUACCCGCUGAACUUA
RNAcentral lists this ribosomal RNA (556 nucleotides) under Alternaria alternata. Its description in RNAcentral is "eukaryotic LSU rRNA". The stretch from base 203 to 356 matches the Rfam family "5.8S ribosomal RNA". The record is from RNAcentral. Lineage: Eukaryota; Fungi; Ascomycota; Dothideomycetes; Pleosporales; Pleosporaceae.